UACGUAGGUGGCAAGCGUUGUCCGGAUUUAUUGGGUUUAAAGGGUGCGUAGGCGGCCCUGUAAGUCAGUGCUGAAAUAUCCCAGCUUAACUGGGAGGGUGGCAUUGAUACUGCGGGGCUAGAGUACAGAUGAGGUAGGCGGAAUUGACGGUGUAGCGGUGAAAUGCGUAGAUAUCGUCAAGAACACCUAUAGCGAAGGCAGCUUACUAGGCUGUAACUGACGCUGAGGCACGAAAGUGUGGGGAUCAAACAGG
This 253-nucleotide ribosomal RNA is filed under the name uncultured bacterium. Its description in RNAcentral is "partial 16S ribosomal RNA". It matches the Rfam family "Bacterial small subunit ribosomal RNA", at positions 524 to 776 of the family's 1533-position model. The record is from RNAcentral.